This 198-nucleotide ribosomal RNA is filed under the name uncultured bacterium. RNAcentral describes it as "partial 16S ribosomal RNA". It matches the Rfam family "Bacterial small subunit ribosomal RNA", at positions 1303 to 1500 of the family's 1533-position model. The record is from RNAcentral.
GGCUGAAAUUCGCCUUCAUGAAGCUGGAAUUGCUAGUAAUGGCAGGUCAGCAUACUGCCGUGAAUACGUUCCCGGGCCUUGUACACACCGCCCGUCACACCAUGAGAGUUGGAAAUACCCGAAGCCUGUGAGCUAACAGUAAUGAGGCAGCAGUCGAAGGUAGAGCCAAUGAUUGGGGUGAAGUCGUAACAAGGUAGC